CUGGGCAUCUAAACACUUUUGUUUAGGUGAAGUUCAAAAGGCUUGACAUGUUGCCUCAGGUCUAUCCCAGUUUUUGUUUAAACGUCUGCUAGAGGAGGGCAGACACAGCUAAUGAUGAGUGUUGGUCUAACAGGUUUGUGUGUCUAGACCAACUGACAGUGUAGACUGUCUCUAUUCAAAUGUCAACUGUCAAAAUAGAGCUGUCAUGAAAACAACUUUUGAUAAAAGCAAAUUGGCUGUUUGAUUGAUAACUUGAUUUUUUUGCUUGACUAUUUUUUGAACAUUUUUACUGACAAGGGAAAUCAGUCAAAGCUCCAAAUUCUGUUGGAGCUAACAGCAUAAUAUGACAAUCCCCCCAAAACCUAAUGAAAGAUCAGCCGACAUUAGCAGAGGAGUGUCCAGGACAAGGGAAUUGAGAGUCUGGUGGUGCUCUGUCCACUCAGACUCCAGCUUGAGUGGUUACAUUGUCCUUGGAGCCAUACUUUAUCAAAGUCAUUGGCUCAGUGCUCUAUCCACAAUGGGUUGCUUGGCUGCCUCUAGAGAAGAUUCCUGUUCAGUUUUGGGCUGUGCCAGAUGUUCUCUGAAAUCCUCCAACUCUGAGAUUCUAUGAUUCAAUCAAAAGGUCGACUCAUUUGAAAGGAAGGAAGGAAGGAAGGAAGGAAGGAAAGAAAGAAAGAAAGAAAGAAAGAAAGAAAGAAACAAACAAACAAACAAAGAAACAAAGAAAGAAACAAAGAAACAAAGAAGGAAAGAAACAAAGACAAAGAAAGAGGAAGAAAGAAAGAAAGAGAAAGAAAGAAAAGAAAGGAGGGAAGGAUGAAAGCAGGGAAGGAAGGAAGAAAGAAAGGAAGAAAGAUAGGAAGAAAGAAAAGAAGAUAGGAAGGAAGAAGGAAAGAAAGAAUAGAAGGAAAAAAGAAAAGAAAAAUCAAUAGAUGUAGUCUCUGAUAGGCAAGCAGUAAGAAGCAAAGAACUUUAGACAUAGAUCCUUUGGUUUCCAAAUUCAAAUGACAGGUUUUUAAGACCUCUUUUAACUUUCUCCUAGAGCCCUGGAUUUUAAAUGUGUGCUUGUUAAAUGACCACAUACCACUGCAAAGCAACUACCAAACACCUGGAGUUGAAAUGUCACUCCAGUAAGGAGGGUAACCAUCUAGAAGGCAUUAGUUACUUCAAUGUAGAUCACAAACUUUCAACACUUUUUUAUCCUGUGUAAAUCCUCUCCAUGUUGAUCCAUAAAUCCAGAGUUGUGCUGGAGCCAGCUCAUACUGGCCAAAGCUGAUUGUUAAAUUUCGUUGUGAGCAUUUUCACCUCUGAAAUUGGCAAACGUUAUGAACCAGGACUUGAUUUUUGUUGUGUAGAUUUGAAAAGGUGAUGGAGAAAAUAUUAUAAUGCAGGUUAAACUAAAAUGUUGUCAUGCCUAUAUUUUUUCUUCUAGAGAGCUGGUUGUUAAAUUUUGCCAGUGCAUUUUACAUAUUAGUGUCAUAUGCUGGGGACCUUCUAGUUCUUUUAAACUUUCUUAAAUACUAGUACUGUGUAACACCUGAACUAACAAUUGCUUCACAUGUAAAAGCUCCUUGAGGUCAGAAACUGUUUGCAUGUCUGUCUUUGUGUCUCCUAGCACCCAAGCACAGUACCUGGCACACAGUAAGCACUUAAUAAUAAAUGCUUAUCGACUGUCUGAUUGAUGGCUUUG
Molecule: long non-coding RNA, 1690 nt
Organism: Monodelphis domestica (gray short-tailed opossum)
Lineage: Eukaryota; Metazoa; Chordata; Mammalia; Didelphimorphia; Didelphidae
Source: Ensembl